Molecule: unclassified non-coding RNA, 258 nt
Filed under: air metagenome
Description: partial contains small subunit ribosomal RNA, internal transcribed spacer 1, and 5.8S ribosomal RNA
Rfam family: Eukaryotic small subunit ribosomal RNA (bases 1-46)
Source: RNAcentral
AAGUCGUAACAAGGUUUCCGUAGGUGAACCUGCGGAAGGAUCAUUACAGAGACGAGCUUCCGGGCUCGGGGGGCUCCGGCCCCGACUCCAUACCCUGUGAUUACUUACCUUUCUGUUGCUUUGGCAGGCCUUGGGAUCAAGCCCACGCCGGUUCUCCCGGCGUGAGCCUGCCAUUAGCCCCUUAUAACUCGCUUUAUCAGUGAUGUCCGAGUCUAAAGAUAAUAAUCAAAACUUUCAACAACGGAUCUCUUGGUUCUG